CCUACGGGUGGCAGCAGUGGGGAAUAUUGCACAAUGGGGGAAACCCUGAUGCAGCGACGCCGCGUGAGUGAGGAAGUAUUUCGGUAUGUAAAGCUCUAUCAGCAGGGAAGAAAAUGACGGUACCUGACUAAGAAGCCCCGGCUAACUACGUGCCAGCAGCCGCGGUAAUACGUAGGGGGCAAGCGUUAUCCGGAUUUACUGGGUGUAAAGGGAGCGUAGACGGUUAAUCAAGUCAGAAGUGAAAACCCAGGGCUCAACCUUGGGACUGCUUUUGAAACUGUUUUUCUUGAGUAUCGGAGAGGUAAUCGGAAUUCCUAGUGUAGCGGUGAAAUGCGUAGAUAUUAGGAAGAACACCAGUGGCGAAGGCGGAUUACUGGACGACAACUGACGGUGAGGCGCGAAAGCGUGGGGAGCAAACAGGAUUAGAUACCCGAGUAGUC
This 440-nucleotide ribosomal RNA is filed under the name uncultured bacterium. Its description in RNAcentral is "partial 16S ribosomal RNA". It matches the Rfam family "Bacterial small subunit ribosomal RNA", at positions 338 to 795 of the family's 1533-position model. The record is from RNAcentral.